Molecule: ribosomal RNA, 459 nt
Filed under: uncultured bacterium
Lineage: Bacteria
Description: SSU rRNA
Rfam family: Bacterial small subunit ribosomal RNA
Source: RNAcentral
AGAACGAACGCUGGCGGCAUGCCUAACACAUGCAAGUCGAACGCUCUUGGGGCUUCGGUUCCAAGGGAGUGGCGCACGGGUGAGUAGCGCGUGGGAACCUGCCCUGGAGUGGGGGGAUAACCGAGGGAAACUUCGGCUAAUACCGCAUGCGCCCGGGAAACCGGGGAAAGAUUUAUCGCUCUAGGAGGGGCCCGCGUCGGAUUAGCUAGUUGGUGGGGUAACGGCCUACCAAGGCUUUGAUCCGUAGCUGGUCUGAGAGGAUGAUCAGCCACACUGGGACUGAGACACGGCCCAGACUCCUACGGGAGGCAGCAGUGGGGAAUAUUGGACAAUGGGCGCAAGCCUGAUCCAGCAAUGCCGCGUGAGUGAUGAAGGCCUUCGGGUUGUAAAGCUCUUUCGCGCGCGACGAUGAUGACGGUAGCGCGAGAAGAAGCCCGGCUAACUCGUGCCAGCAGCCGC